Molecule: small nuclear RNA, 107 nt
Filed under: Salvator merianae (Argentine black and white tegu)
Lineage: Eukaryota; Metazoa; Chordata; Lepidosauria; Squamata; Teiidae
Source: RNAcentral
GUGCUUGCUAAGGCAGCACAUAUACUAAAAUUGGAACAAUACAGAGAAAAUUAGCAUUCCCCCUGCACAAGGAUGACAUGCAAAUUCAUGAAAAAUUCCAUAUUUAA